GAUGAAGAACGCAGUGAAAUGCGAUAAGUAAUGUGAAUUGCAGAAUUCAGUGAAUCAUCGAGUCUUUGAACGCACAUUGCGCCCCCUGGUAUUCCGGGGGGCAUGCCUGUCCGAGCGUCAUUGCUGCCCUCAAGCACGGCUUGUGUGUUGGGCCCCCGCCCCCCGGCUUCGGGGGGCGGGCCCGAAAGGCAGCGGCGGCACCGCGUCCGGUCCUCGAGCGUAUGGGGCUUCGUCACCCGCUCUGUAGGCCCGGCCGGCGCCCGCCGGCGACCCCAAUCAAUCUUUCCAGGUUGACCUCGGAUCAGGUAGGGAUACCCGCUGAACUUAAGCAUAUCAAUAAGCGGAGGA
RNAcentral lists this unclassified non-coding RNA (348 nucleotides) under soil metagenome. RNAcentral's name for it is "partial contains 5.8S ribosomal RNA, internal transcribed spacer 2, and large subunit ribosomal RNA". The stretch from base 1 to 120 matches the Rfam family "5.8S ribosomal RNA", at positions 35 to 154 of the family's 154-position model. The record is from RNAcentral.